RNAcentral lists this ribosomal RNA (640 nucleotides) under uncultured marine eukaryote. Its description in RNAcentral is "bacterial SSU rRNA". It matches the Rfam family "Eukaryotic small subunit ribosomal RNA", at positions 1 to 706 of the family's 1831-position model. The record is from RNAcentral.
AACCUGGUUGAUCCUGCCAGUAGUCAUAUGCUUGUCUCAAAGACUAAGCCAUGCACGUCUAAGUACAAACUAAUGAUGGUGAAACUGCAAAUGGCUCAUUACAACGGUUAUGAUGUACCCGGGAGUUCCGAUGGAUAUUUCCAGUAACACUAGAACUAAUACAUGCUCCUGCGUUUAUUAGUUUCGCACAGUCCGUCGCUGAGUCAUGGUAAACAGUUGAUCGACUCGACGUCCCGGAACAGUUUCCGCCCCAUCAGCUUCGAUGGUUGGGUAUUGGCCUACCAUUGCAACAACGGGUAACGAGGAAUUAGGGUUUGAUUUCGGAGAGGGAGCCUGAGAAACGGCUACCACAUCUACGGAUGGCAGCAGGCGCGCAAAUUACCCAAUGCAGACACUGUGAGGUAGUGACGAGAAAUAAUAAAGCGGGACUUCUGUUUCGCUAUUAUAAUGAGGAAUAACCAAAGGUCAUUCCGAUUAGCAACUGAUGGGAAAGUCUGGUGCCAGCAGCCGCGGUAAUACCAGCGUCAGUAGCAUAUAUUAAAAUUGUUGCAGUUAAAACGUCCGUAGUCUGUACGUCGUCCCAAACUCACUGCAGUCUUCCGUUUUCUUCAUUGAAUGCGGUAGUUUCUGCAGUCACUCC